UGGUGGANNCNUGUGGUUUAAUUCGAAGCAACGCGAAGAACCUUACCAGGUCUUGACAUCCUUUGACCACUCUAGAGAUAGAGCUUUCCCUUCGGGGACAAAGUGACAGGUGGUGCAUGGUUGUCGUCAGCUCGUGUCGUGAGAUGUUGGGUUAAGUCCCGCAACGAGCGCAACCCUUAUUACUAGUUGCCAGCAUUUAGUUGGGCACUCUAGUGAGACUGCCGGUGACAAACCGGAGGAAGGUGGGGAUGACGUCAAAUCAUCAUGCCCCUUAUGACCUGGGCUACACACGUGCUACAAUGGAUGGUACAACGAGUCGCAAGGUCGCGAGGCCAAGCUAAUCUCUUAAAGCCAUUCUCAGUUCGGAUUGUAGGCUGCAACUCGCCUACNGAAGCCGGAAUCGC
This 404-nucleotide ribosomal RNA is filed under the name Carnobacterium sp. AZTITEMP55. RNAcentral describes it as "bacterial SSU rRNA". It matches the Rfam family "Bacterial small subunit ribosomal RNA", at positions 930 to 1335 of the family's 1533-position model. The record is from RNAcentral. Lineage: Bacteria; Bacillati; Bacillota; Bacilli; Lactobacillales; Carnobacteriaceae.